Molecule: ribosomal RNA, 394 nt
Filed under: Aureococcus sp.
Lineage: Eukaryota; Pelagophyceae; Pelagomonadales; Pelagomonadaceae
Description: partial small subunit ribosomal RNA
Rfam family: Eukaryotic small subunit ribosomal RNA
Source: RNAcentral
AUUCCAGCUCCAAUAGCGUAUAUUAAUGUUGUUGCAGUUAAAAAGCUCGUAGUUGGAUUCCUGGCACGGGGUAGCCGGUCCGCCUUGCAAAAGGUGCGCACUGAGCGGCCUCGGCCAUCCUUGCGAUGGUCUAUCCUGGCAUUCAGUUGUCGGGGUGGGGAUUCGCGACGUUUACUGUGAAAAAAUCAGAGUGUUCAACGCAGGCUUACGCCUUGAAUACAUUAGCAUGGAAUAAUGAGAUAGGACCUUGGCGGUCUAUUUUGUUGGUUUGCACGCCGAGGUAAUGAUUAAAAGGGACGGUUGGGGUUCUUCGUAUUCAAUUGUCAGAGGUGAAAUUCUUGGAUUUAUGGAAGACGAACUGCUGCGAAAGCGUCGAACAAGGACGUUCUCAUUA